GAUGAACGCUAGCGGCAGGCUUAACACAUGCAAGUCGAGGGGUAACAUAAGAAUGCUUGCAUUUUUGAUGACGACCGGCGCACGGGUGCGUAACGCGUAUAGAACCUACCUUAUAGUAAGGGAUAGCCCAGAGAAAUUUGGAUUAGUACCUUAUAGUAUCAAUUGAUGGCAUCGUUAAUUGAUUAAAGAUUUAUUGCUAUAAGAUGGCUAUGCGUUCUAUUAGUUAGUUGGUAAGGUAACGGCUUACCAAGACAUCGAUAGAUAGGGGCCCUGAGAGGGGGAUCCCCCACACUGGUACUGAGACACGGACCAG
Molecule: ribosomal RNA, 313 nt
Filed under: uncultured Aquimarina sp.
Lineage: Bacteria; Pseudomonadati; Bacteroidota; Flavobacteriia; Flavobacteriales; Flavobacteriaceae
Description: bacterial SSU rRNA
Rfam family: Bacterial small subunit ribosomal RNA
Source: RNAcentral